RNAcentral lists this long non-coding RNA (410 nucleotides) under Mytilus galloprovincialis (Mediterranean mussel). Lineage: Eukaryota; Metazoa; Mollusca; Bivalvia; Mytilida; Mytilidae. The record is from RNAcentral.
CUGGUACAUGUAGUUACAAUGCAGAUUGCAAUCUCUUAGUUUCAUCCCCUUUAUUUCAAGCAAUAAGAUGAUUCGCGCACAUAUUUUUUAACUCUUAAUCUUUCAGAUUCUUAAGAAUUUGUUUAUUAAAUCUUAUAUUGACCACAUACAAUGUUUAAAUAGGAAGAAAUGCUUAAAAGCUGUUUUUUCGCAAAAGGCGGUAUUUUGGGCAACUGUAUGAGUUGUUAUGAUUUGCUGUAUGACUAGAAGUAAGCAUAAUUUUAGGAAAUUUUAUGAUGUCAAAAACUUCUUUGAUAGUCAUUACAUGGUUUUACUUAGUUUUAAGUGAUUAGCAUUUGCACCAGAAAGAAAAAUUUGGGUUUUCACACAUUUUGUGAACUUUUACUCGAAUUUCAGAAACCAUGUGCUCU